GAUGAACGCUAGCGGCAGGCCUAACACAUGCAAGUCGAGGGAGAGGUUACCUUCGGGUAAUCAAAACCGGCGCACGGGUGCGUAACGCGUAUACAAUCUGCCUUUCACAUAGGGAUAGCCCGAAGAAAUUUGGAUUAAUACCUAAUGGUAUAUAAGAGCGGCAUCGUUUUUAUAUUAAAGCUACGGUGGUGAAAGAUGAGUAUGCGUUCUAUUAGCUAGUUGGAGAGGUAACGGCUCCCCAAGGCGACGAUAGAUAGGGGUUCUGAGAGGGAUGUCCCCCACACUGGUACUGAGAUACGGACCAGACUCCUACGGGAGGCAGCAGUGAGGAAUAUUGGACAAUGGUCGGAAGACUGAUCCAGCCAUGCCGCGUGCAGGAUGAAGGUCCUGUGGAUUGUAAACUGCUUUUGUAAGGGAAGAAUAAGGGGUACGUGUACUUUGAUGACGGUACCUUACGAAUAAGCAUCGGCUAACUCCGUGCCAGCAGCCGCGGUAAUACGGAGGAUGCGAGCGUUAUCCGGAAUCAUUGGGUUUAAAGGGUCCGUAGGCGGGCUGAUAAGUCAGAGGUGAAAGCGCUUAGCUCAACUAAGCAACUGCCUUUGAAACUGUCAGUCUUGAAUGAUUGUGAAGUAGUUGGAAUGUGUAGUGUGGCGGUGAAAUGCUUAGAUAUUACACAGAACACCGAUAGCGAAGGCAUAUUACUAACAAUUUAUUGACGCUGAUGGACGAAAGCGUGGGGAGCGAACAGG
RNAcentral lists this ribosomal RNA (749 nucleotides) under uncultured Capnocytophaga sp. Its description in RNAcentral is "bacterial SSU rRNA". It matches the Rfam family "Bacterial small subunit ribosomal RNA", at positions 28 to 776 of the family's 1533-position model. The record is from RNAcentral. Lineage: Bacteria; Pseudomonadati; Bacteroidota; Flavobacteriia; Flavobacteriales; Flavobacteriaceae.